UCACUGGUCGAGUCGGCCUGCGCGGAAGAUGUAACGGGGCUAAACCAUGCACCGAAGCUGCGGCAGCGACACUAUGUGUUGUUGGGUAGGGGAGCGUUCUGUAAGCCUGCGAAGGUGUACUGUGAGGUAUGCUGGAGGUAUCAGAAGUGCGAAUGCUGACAUAAGUAACGAUAAAGCGGGUGAAAAGCCCGCUCGCCGGAAGACCAAGGGUUCCUGUCCAACGUUAAUCGGGGCAGGGUGAGUCGACCCCUAAGGCGAGGCCGAAAGGCGUAGUCGAUGGGAAACAGGUUAAUAUUCCUGUACUUGGUGUUACUGCGAAGGGGGGACGGAGAAGGCUAUGUUGGCCGGGCGACGGUUGUCCCGGUUUAAGCGUGUAGGCUGGUUUUCCAGGCAAAUCCGGAAAAUCAAGGCUGAGGCGUGAUGACGAGGCACUACGGUGCUGAAGCAACAAAUGCCCUGCUUCCAGGAAAAGCCUCUAAGCAUCAGGUAACAUCAAAUCGUACCCCAAACCGACACAGGUGGUCAGGUAGAGAAUACCAAGGCGCUUGAGAGAACUCGGGUGAAGGAACUAGGCAAAAUGGUGCCGUAACU
Molecule: ribosomal RNA, 591 nt
Filed under: Escherichia coli
Lineage: Bacteria; Pseudomonadati; Pseudomonadota; Gammaproteobacteria; Enterobacterales; Enterobacteriaceae
Description: partial 23S ribosomal RNA
Rfam family: Bacterial large subunit ribosomal RNA
Source: RNAcentral